UGGGGGAUAUUGCACAAUGGGGGAAACCCUGAUGCAGCGAUGCCGCGUGAAUGAAGACGGCCUUCGGGUUGUAAAGUUCUGUCGCAGGGGACGAAACUGACGGUACCCUGCAAGAAAGCUCCGGCUAACUACGUGCCAGCAGCCGCGGUAAUACGUAGGGAGCAAGCGUUGUCCGGAAUUACUGGGUGUAAAGGGAGCGUAGGCGGGAGGAUAAGUUGAAUGUGAAAUCUGUGGGCUCAACCCACAGCUGCGUUCAAAACUGUUCUUCUUGAGUGAAGUAGAGGCAGGCGGAAUUCCUAGUGUAGCGGUGAAAUGCGUAGAUAUUAGGAGGAACACCAGUGGCGAAGGCGGCCUGCUGGGCUUUUACUGACGCUGAGGCUCGAAAGCGUGGGUAGCAAACAGGAUUAGAUACCC
RNAcentral lists this ribosomal RNA (414 nucleotides) under uncultured bacterium. RNAcentral's name for it is "bacterial SSU rRNA". It matches the Rfam family "Bacterial small subunit ribosomal RNA", at positions 355 to 787 of the family's 1533-position model. The record is from RNAcentral.